This 2652-nucleotide ribosomal RNA is filed under the name Triticum aestivum (bread wheat). Its description in RNAcentral is "partial small subunit ribosomal RNA". Lineage: Eukaryota; Viridiplantae; Streptophyta; Magnoliopsida; Poales; Poaceae. The record is from RNAcentral.
AUGAGAGAGGAUAGGAGAAGAGCCGCCGGAGGUAUGAUGGAUGCGACCCCUGGCGAAAUGGAAGGUAUAUCAAUGGAGAUCGUUCCCGGGACCGGCGGAACGGAAGGUUCGUCAAUGGAGAUCGUUCCCGCGACCGGCGGCAUGGAAGGUAUGACGGAUGCGACCCCUGGUGAAAUGGAAGGUAUGUCAAUGGAGGACUCGUUGAUCGAUGGCAACAGGGAUCUCUUAUUAUCAUUUGAUUCCACUGAAGGACUUCCAGCGGCAAUGGAUCAUACGGACGUCCCACUCGAGAGGGUUGUGGUAGAAGAUGAAGAAGGAUUACUUGAUCUCCCACCUGAAUACGCGGAUCCAGCGAUGCUUGUUCCUAAGGUGGGACAAAGUUUCAUGACCGAAAGAGAUGCUUUCAAUCUAUACAACAUCUAUGCUGUGCGGAUGGGUUUUGGAAUUCGACUGUCGAAGCUGCGUUUUAGUGCAUCGAAGAAAUUGACUAUGCGGGAAUUUUGUUGUUCGCAUCAGGGAAAAAAUCCUAAGACAAAAAAACCUUCAGUGCGUGUUGGGUGUGGCACUAUGUUGAGGAUUAAUAGACCAAUUGGUGAGGGGUCGUGGACAGUGACUAAGUUUGUAGAGGACCAUAACCAUGAGCUUAAGGAGGCAAUUGGUGUGACUAAGAAUUACAAGUCACAUAAUCAAAUUGAUGAGGGGACUAGACAUGUCAUUGCAGACAUGGUGGAUAGCGGUAUGAGGUCGACCAACAUGUACGGUUUAUUGUCAGGGUUUUGUGGAGGAGCUUCAAUGGUCCCGUUCUCGCGUAGGAUGAUGGACAGGCUAGCUUAUGCUAUCAAGAGGGAUGAGUGCAGUGAAGAUGUAGAGCUGACCCUUGAUCUUUUCAAAGAGUUGCAGAGCAAUUCCAGCAAUUUUUUCUAUAGUGUGCAGGUUGACAAGGCAUGCCGUGUGAAGAAUAUAUUCUGGUCUCAUGCUGUAUCAAGGAGGAAUUUUCAAGCCUUUGGCGAUGUUGUGACGUUUGAUACUACAUAUAAGACUAAUAGUUACAACAUGCCAUUUGCUCCGUUCGUAGGAGUGAAUAAUCAUUUUCAGAGCAUAUUGUUUGGGUGUGCAUUACUUAGAGAUGAGACAGUUGAGUCUUUCAAUUGGUUGUUCUCUACGUUCAGGAAGUGCAUGAAUGGAAAGGAGCCGCAGUGCAUACUUACCGAUAAUUGCCAACAGAUGGCCGCCUCUAUUAAAAAAGUUUUUCCAAAAGCGUCUCAUCGUGUUUGCAAGUGGCAUAUACUUAAGAAGGUGAGGGAAAAUUGUGGAAAUAUCUACAGCACUAGAGAAACAUUCAAAGAAGACUUUCAUAGGGUGUUAACUCAGAUGUUGACAGUAGAUGAGUUUGAGGGGGCAUGGAAGGAAUUAAUUUCCGAGUAUAAGCUGGAAGAUUGUGUGUAUCUGAAGCAGAUGUGGGAUAUCAGGGAAAAGUGGGCAUUUCCUUAUUUUGGGCAGUUGUUCUAUGCUGGAAUGACAACUACACAGAGGAGCGAGUCAGUUAAUUAUGUCUUGAAAAGGUUUGUUAUGCCGGCCUCUUCGAUGAAUGGUUUCGUAAAGAAGUAUGAGAGAUUCUUCAUAGACAGAUUACAGAUGGAAGAUUAUGAGGAAUUUCAUACUAAACACGACAAAGUUGUUAUGAAGACUAGAUCACCAUUGGAAAGACAUGCUUCAAAGGUAUAUACUCGUGGUGUAUUCAACUUAUUUGUGGAGCAGCUAUUGGAAAGUUUGUCCUUCAAGGUCGUCGCGACUGAUGAGGAGAGUGUCUUUAAAAUAGUACGUAUUGGGGGUUUUUCUCGGAACAUCUGGCGACGGCACCGUUAUGAAGUGUAUGCAGACCUUGAAAGCAUGACAUUUUCAUGUGUAUGUAAGAUGUUUGAGCACAAGGGUAUACUGUGUUGUCAUGUGCUUAGUGUCCUGAUACAUGAUGGUUGCGCUGAGAUCCCAGAGCAGUAUGUCUUGAAGCGAUGGACGAAGGAUGCUAGAGACCGUGUGCCUUCAUUCCUGGAGGGUUACAAAGAUGAUGUUGAUGCCGCUGCUUCUCAGACGUACAGGCAUCUGGUGCUCCAUACGACAUCAGAGGAGGUAAAUCGUCUUGGUAACAAAUACAUGAAGGCUUACAAGGUGACCAUGGAAGACCUAUCUCAAUUGGUGGAAAAACUGAGAAAGGUCUGUCUGGAGGAAGAGCAGGCUAUUCUGGAAGGGGCAGAAGUUGAGGGUGAUGUACAUAAUCAGACGCAUGAUCGUACAACAGCUGAUGGUGAUAGAACGCCAGGAGAAGGAGAUAGUACUCCCCAUGUCCAUGAAGUCAGUGAAGGCCCAUUCAAGGAAGGGGUGAGUAUGGAAGAUAUUUUGCCACCUGUUAAGAAUCGUCCAAGAGGCAGGCCAAAAACUACAAGAUGGAAAACUGGUGGGGAAGUAGCUAGUACAAAGAAGAGUGGUAAGAAAGUGGGUGGCAACAGUGAUAGCACAAAGCAAGGUGGAGAUGCUUCUGGGAAGAAAGAGUCUGACAUCAUUAGGUAUUGUGGAGAAUGUGGUGACCAGGGACAUAAUAAGACGACAUGUGGGAAGCCAUCCACGUACAAGAGGAAGUAUGUUUACAAGGAAUAG